Molecule: long non-coding RNA, 1807 nt
Organism: Gavialis gangeticus (Gharial)
Lineage: Eukaryota; Metazoa; Chordata; Crocodylia; Gavialidae
Exons: 2
Source: RefSeq, a predicted model, not a curated record
AGAUGGGGCUAGGGAAGGGGUUCAGAGUGGCACUCAGAGAGGGCAUGAGGCUUAAUCAGUGGCAUCUCUGGUAAGAAGAUUGGCCCCCCGCUGCUCUAGAGUUUGAGGGCUGGACCUGACUAGUUGAUCAGGCAUCACAGAUGAGGCAGAAAAUGGCCUUAAUGUAAUAGUAGCUGGAGAUUUUUCUGCACUAGCAGAAUCUCCACAUGAUAUAAUGACUGUGUAGCAAGCUCUGUGUCCCCUGCUCCAACUCUUCCUGGCAUAAGAGCUGCGUCACAGGGUCAGGAGCCAUGCCAUGGUGCGUCAGAAGUGAGAGGAUAUGUAAGCAGAUCACUUUGCACCCCAGCAACUGCCGUCUGGUAUAUGGUCCCCGAAGGACUGACCACUCUUGCCAGUGAGCUUAGGGAAGAACUUGUGUCCCCAGAUGGGGGAGUAAAACAUUAGCUUAGGGUCACCUAGUAUCUCUUCUUGCAUACUGCACCAAGCACACUUUGGCCAGGCCCACAAAUCUGGCUUUGGUAUUUCUUACCCAGGAACUGGACUGGACUCCUUAACAGAUAUAGGAGAUGAGAAAAAUGUGAGAGAUGUGAGUGUAUUCCAUUGAUUGAGUCUCUCCUAGCUUAAAUGAAAUGAAUAGCAUUUGGUUGGGGUGUGUGUGCGCACAUGCGUGUGUAAUGCUCCUUAUACAUCACAUAUCCCAUAGAACUUUACAAAGCAAAACUAAAAGAAAUACAUAGUUUGGACAUGGAAGAAGAGAAAGGUGGUUUGAAAGUCUUGGCAACAGCACUUUAUAGUUAUAUGAGUUUUCAUCCUGAAGAAUCUUCGUAAUUUUAAACACAUUUACAUCCAUAGUGCCAGUGAAAUGUAACCACCUCUGAGGUGGAAGGUAGCAAGAAUACUGCUGGCAUGAGACUAUUCCUAUAAAAUAUGGAGAAGUUUUUACCCUUAUUUAUUAAAGCUCUGGAAGAGAGCACUCUGAACGUCUAAAAAGACAGCACUUUGGCUUCCUUAAAGGUCUCUCAUGCAUCUCAUGAGGAUGGCAAUGUGGAGACAAUGGAGCUGAAUGCUCCCAAGAGGCUGGGAAGAGAAACGUUUAUGGCAAGAUGGGUGGAAACUACAGGAGUCACUGGAAGCACACAUGCCGUGUAUGUGAUUCAUAAAGAAAUAGUAAUUUUACACAGGCCUGGAACUGUGCAAAUACUCCACGGUGCAAGUAUAUGAGAGACCAGACCUAUAUGCCGAUGUGAGGAAAAUGAAGUCAGCGGCAGGAAUGCAUUAUUGACCUUUAAACCCUUGCAAGCAGUGACUGAAUUUGUCCAAGGGCUGUAAUCUUUCCAUGACCUGAUAUUGCUGAAAUAGUAUUUUGACAUGCUCCCCAAUGAAUGAAUAAUGGAACCAAAGAAAACCGUAUUUCUUUCUUGUCUCAAUAAAAAAAAAAAGGUUACCUAUAGCACCAACAAUAUAUUGUACCUCCCCGUCAAAGGAUCACUUUAACAAUUUAACUCCUGUUCAGUCUACAGGCAGAGACCCCUUCAUCCACAACUGAAAUGCAGCUGCCACCAGAAUGAUGUUCAUCACUGUAUGACAGUGCACAGCAGUCAGAGAUAGCAGGGGAGGACUGGAAGUAAUGAAUAGUUCUGCACCCAAUGGAGACUGCAGGGAGGUAUCAGGUUGUCCAGAGAAGUGGACAGAGAGAACGAAGAGGACAGAGAUGCAACUGGACCUGGAGAUAGCGGGAAGGACUACAACAGGAUCAGCAGCAGGGGAAGUGACAGCGACAGCGACAAGGACAGUGAAUGAACUGAGA